AUGAACGCUGGCGGCGUGCUUAACACAUGCAAGUCGAACGAUGAAGCCCAGCUUGCUGGGUGGAUUAGUGGCGAACGGGUGAGUAACACGUGAGUAACCUGCCCUUGACUCUGGGAUAAGCCUGGGAAACUGGGUCUAAUACUGGAUAUGACUUCUCAUCGCAUGGUGGGGGGUGGAAAGAUUUAUUGGUCUUGGAUGGACUCGCGGCCUAUCAGCUUGUUGGUGAGGUAAUGGCUCACCAAGGCGACGACGGGUAGCCGGCCUGAGAGGGUGACCGGCCACACUGGGACUGAGACACGGCCCAGACUCCUACGGGAGGCAGCAGUGGGGAAUAUUGCACAAUGGGCGCAAGCCUGAUGCAGCGACGCCGCGUGAGGGAUGACGGCCUUCGGGUUGUAAACCUCUUUCAGUAGGGAAGAAGCGAGAGUGACGGUACCUGCAGAAGAAGCGCCGGCUAACUACGU
Molecule: ribosomal RNA, 464 nt
Filed under: uncultured bacterium
Lineage: Bacteria
Description: partial 16S ribosomal RNA
Rfam family: Bacterial small subunit ribosomal RNA
Source: RNAcentral